GACGAACGCUGGCGGCGUGCUUAACACAUGCAAGUCGAACGGUGAAGCCCUUCGGGGUGGAUCAGUGGCGAACGGGUGAGUAACACGUGAGCAACCUGCCCCUGACUCUGGGAUAACUACCGGAAACGGUGGCUAAUACCGGAUACGACCUUCCUGCGCAUGUGGGUUGGUGGAAAGUUUUUCGGUUGGGGAUGGGCUCGCGGCCUAUCAGCUUGUUGGUGGGGUGAUGGCCUACCAAGGCGACGACGGGUAGCCGGCCUGAGAGGGCGACCGGCAACACUGGGGCUGAGACACGGCCCAGACUCCUACGGGAGGCAGCAGUGGGGAAUAUUGCGCAAUGGGCGGAAGCCUGACGCAGCGACGCCGCGUGGGGGAUGAAGGCCUUCGGGUUGUAAACCUCUUUCAGCAGGGAAGAAGCGUGAGUGACGGUACCUGCAGAAGAAGCACCGGCUAACUACGUGCCAGCCGCCGUAAAAC
This 477-nucleotide ribosomal RNA is filed under the name uncultured bacterium. RNAcentral's name for it is "partial 16S ribosomal RNA". It matches the Rfam family "Bacterial small subunit ribosomal RNA", at positions 28 to 526 of the family's 1533-position model. The record is from RNAcentral.